AUCUGGAAACCAAGGAAUUUGCGAGUCAGAAGAAACAGAAGAAUGCAAAAGAGGAACCGGUGAUGGACUGCCAUAGGAAUGAUAAUUGGCCUGAGGAUAAGAAUUGAGUCGUGCUUCUGAAGGAGCAUACCGACAGUGGCAGUGAUCAGCAGUGUGAUUUUUAAGGCCACAUAUCUGACAAGGCCCUUCAAGCCAAAAAGAACCAUCAUUAAAAUUGUAAUUUGGUUGCCGACGUUGAUUAUUUGAUGUGGUGGGUGGGCGAGAAGGAGUGGGUAGAAGUGGUGCAUUUGAAGAUGAUCAUACCACCAUAUUUGCUAUAGGUGGUUCUUAAGAACUCUUUAUGAGAAUUUCAUGAGUAACAAGUUGUCUAUACAACUCAUAG
RNAcentral lists this unclassified non-coding RNA (382 nucleotides) under Hevea brasiliensis (rubber tree). Lineage: Eukaryota; Viridiplantae; Streptophyta; Magnoliopsida; Malpighiales; Euphorbiaceae. The record is from RNAcentral.